Molecule: long non-coding RNA, 316 nt
Filed under: Cyanistes caeruleus (blue tit)
Lineage: Eukaryota; Metazoa; Chordata; Aves; Passeriformes; Paridae
Description: lncRNA (ENSCCEG00000014152.1)
Source: RNAcentral
UUUUCUUCUCAGCUAUGUGGUGGCCCUUAGUUAUCCUCAAACAUCACUGGGCUCACAAACACCCAUAAAAAGUUGAAGGAGGCUAUAGUUCAUACGGUGAGGUCUGUGAUGGUUGUUAUUGUUGAUGACAACUCCACUAAAACAAAGCAGCAGAAAAAUGGGAAUCCAAGCAGUCUCGGGAGGUGACAGGACAGACACAUUGUGGGGUUUUCUCCCUCAAAUGAUACUAAGGAACUCUGUUGCUUGGAGACCUGCAUUUUUCUACCUGUGCUCAAAACAGUGGACAUUUUUAAUGCAGCCAACAAUGAUGAAGUAG